This 127-nucleotide small RNA is filed under the name Marmota monax (woodchuck). Lineage: Eukaryota; Metazoa; Chordata; Mammalia; Rodentia; Sciuridae. The record is from RNAcentral.
GCUGGGUAUAGUGGUGUAUGCCUGUAAUCCUCGCAAGUUAGGAGGCUGAGGCAGCAGGAUCACAAGUUGGAGGCCAGCCUCAGCGAUUUAGUGAGGCCCUAAGCAACUUAGUGAGACCCUGUUACAA